RNAcentral lists this ribosomal RNA (301 nucleotides) under uncultured bacterium. RNAcentral's name for it is "partial 16S ribosomal RNA". It matches the Rfam family "Bacterial small subunit ribosomal RNA", at positions 509 to 807 of the family's 1533-position model. The record is from RNAcentral.
CAGCCGCCGCGGGAAUACGAAGGGGGCUAGCGUUGCUCGGAAUGACUGGGCGUAAAGGGCGCGUAGGCGGCGAUCAAAGUCAGGCGUGAAAUUCCUGGGCUCAACAUGGGGGUUGCGCUUGAUACUUGGUUGCUUGAGUGGGGAAGAGGGUCGUGGAAUUCCCAGUGUAGAGGUGAAAUUCGUAGAUAUUGGGAAGAACACCGGUGGCGAAGGCGGCGACCUGGUCCUUGACUGACGCUGAGGCGCGAAAGCGUGGGGAGCAAACAGGAUUAGAUACCCCGGUAGUCCCUGUCUCUUAUAC